UACAGAGACUGCAAGCGUUACUCGGAAUUACUGGGCGUAAAGGGUGCGUAGGUGGUUGUUUAAGUUUGCUGUGAAAGCCCCGGGCUCAACCUGGGAAUGGCAGUGAAUACUGGACAGCUAGAGUGCGGUAGAGGGUAGUGGAAUUCCCGGUGUAGCAGUGAAAUGCGUAGAGAUCGGGAGGAACACCAGUGGCGAAGGCGGCUACCUGGACCAGCACUGACACUGAAGCACGAAAGCGUGGGGAGCAAACAGG
Molecule: ribosomal RNA, 253 nt
Filed under: uncultured bacterium
Lineage: Bacteria
Description: partial 16S ribosomal RNA
Rfam family: Bacterial small subunit ribosomal RNA
Source: RNAcentral